RNAcentral lists this ribosomal RNA (465 nucleotides) under Vreelandella stevensii. RNAcentral's name for it is "partial 16S ribosomal RNA". It matches the Rfam family "Bacterial small subunit ribosomal RNA", at positions 338 to 795 of the family's 1533-position model. The record is from RNAcentral. Lineage: Bacteria; Pseudomonadati; Pseudomonadota; Gammaproteobacteria; Oceanospirillales; Halomonadaceae.
CAUACGGGGGGCUGCAGUGGGGAAUAUUGGACAAUGGGCGAAAGCCUGAUCCAGCCAUGCCGCGUGUGUGAAGAAGGCCUUCGGGUUGUAAAGCACUUUCAGUGGGGAAGAAAGCCUUGGGGCUAAUACCCUCGAGGAAGGACAUCACCCACAGAAGAAGCACCGGCUAACUCCGUGCCAGCAGCCGCGGUAAUACGGAGGGUGCGAGCGUUAAUCGGAAUUACUGGGCGUAAAGCGCGCGUAGGCGGUCUGAUAAGCCGGUUGUGAAAGCCCCGGGCUCAACCUGGGAACGGCAUCCGGAACUGUCAGGCUAGAGUGCAGGAGAGGAAGGUAGAAUUCCCGGUGUAGCGGUGAAAUGCGUAGAGAUCGGGAGGAAUACCAGUGGCGAAGGCGGCCUUCUGGACUGACACUGACGCUGAGGUGCGAAAGCGUGGGUAGCAAACAGGAUUAGAUACCCCAGUAGUC